GCCGCCGUAGCUCAGUGGUAGAGCACUCGGCUGUUAACCGAGUGGUCGCCGGUUCGAGUCCGGCCGGCGGCG
Molecule: transfer RNA, 72 nt
Filed under: Thermoplasmata archaeon
Lineage: Archaea; Methanobacteriati; Thermoplasmatota; Thermoplasmata
Description: tRNA-Asn
Rfam family: tRNA
About the family: Transfer RNA (tRNA) molecules are approximately 80 nucleotides in length.
Source: RNAcentral